RNAcentral lists this long non-coding RNA (1728 nucleotides) under Sus scrofa (pig). RNAcentral describes it as "lncRNA (ENSSSCG00005011714.1)". The record is from RNAcentral. Lineage: Eukaryota; Metazoa; Chordata; Mammalia; Artiodactyla; Suidae.
GUUUUCUUUAUUACUAUUUCAUUGAUUUCUGCUCUGAUCUUUAUGAUUUCUUUCCUUCUACUAACUUUAGGUCUUGUCUGUUCUUCUCUCUUGAGCUGCUUUCGAUGUCAAGUUAGUUUGUUUAUUUGAGCUUUUUCUUGUUUCCUGAGGUGGGCUUGUAUUGCUAUAAGCUUUCCUCUUAGAAUGGCUUUUGCUGCAUCCCAUAGGUUUUGGAGUGUCAUAUCUUCAUUGUCAUUUGCUGCUAGGUAUUUUUUAAUUUGCUUUUUGAUUUCUUCAGUGGUCCAUUGGUUGUUUAGUAGCAUGUUGUUGAGUCUCCAGUAUUUGUGUUUUUUGCAGUUUUUUUUUCUUGUUGUUGAUUUCCAGUCAUAUAGCAUUGUGGUCGGAAAAAAUGCUUGAUAUGAUUUCAAUUUUCUUAAAGUUACCAAGGUUGGAUUUGUAGCCCAUGAUGUAAUCAAUCUUAGAGAAUGAGCCAUGUCCACUUGAGAAGAAUGUGUAUUCUGUUGCUUUUGGAUGGAAUGUCCUAUAAAUAUCUAUUAAGUCCAUCUGGUUUAAUGCAUCAUUCAGUGCUUGUGUUUCCUUAUUGAUUAUCUGUCUGGUUGCUGUUAGUGGGAUGUUAAAGUCCCCCACUAUUAUUGUGUUAUUGUCGAUUUGUCUUUUUAAGGUUGUUAGCAGUUGCCUUACAUAUUGUGGUGAACCUAUGUUGCAUGUGUAGAUAUUUAAAAUUGUUAUAUUUUUCUUGGUUUGAUCCUUUGGUCAUUAUGUAAUGUCCUUCCUUGUAUCUUAAAAUCUUCUUCAUUUUAAAGUCUAUUUUGUCUGAUAUGAGUAUUGCUACUCCAGCUUUCUUUUGAUCCCCAUUUGCAUGGAAUAUUUUCUUCCAUCCUCUCAUUUUCAAUUUGUAUGUGUCCCUGGAAGUGAAGUGGGUCUCUUGAAGACAGCAUAUAUAUGGGUCUUGGUUUUUUUUAUCCAUUCAGCCAGUGUAUGUCUUUUGUUUGAGAACUUUUUUUUUUUUUGUCUUUUUGCCAUCUCUUGGGCUGCUCCCACAGCAUACAGAGGUUCCCAGGCUAGGGGUCGAAUCAGAGCUGUAGCUGCUGGCCUACACCAGAGCCACAACAACACGGGAUCCGAGCCGCGUCUGCAACCUACACCACAGCUCACAGCAAUGUCAGAUCCUUAACCCACUGAGCAAGGCCAGGGAUUGAACCUGCAACCUCAUGGUUCCUAGCCAGAUUCGUUAACCACUGCGCCACAAUGGGAACUCCUAAGUAAUUAUUGAUAUGUAUAUUCUUAUUGCCAUUUUAUUAAUUGCUUUGGAUUUUUGUUGCUCUUUUUUCUUCCCUUCUUUUCUUGUUCUGUCCUCUUCUGGUUUGAUGACUAUCUUUAGUGUUGUAUUUGACAUGAUUUUUCUUAUUUGUUUGUGUAUCAAUUGUAGAUUUUUGGUUUGCAGUUAUUGUGAAGUUUUGAUAUGAGUCUAUAUGUAUAUGAGAUUGUUUUAAGUUGUUGUUCUCUUAAUUGCAAGUGCAUCUCCAGUGUCCUGCAUUUGUACCCACCUCUUCUCAUGAUUUCUGAUUUUGGUGGCAUAAUUGUGCAUGGAUGAUUUCAUAUCUUUACUGUAUAUAUACCUUUACUGGUGAGCCUUGUCAUUUGUGGAACUUUUGUUUCCUGUUGCUGUGUUUUCUUUUCUGCCUAGAGAAGUUCCUUUAGUAUUUGUUGUAAGGCUGAUUUAGUGUU